UCCAGACUCCUACGGGAGGCAGCAGUGGGGAAUAUUGCACAAUGGGGGGAACCCUGAUGCAGCGACGCCGCGUGGGUGAAGGAGCACCUCGGUGCGUAAAGCCCUAUCGGCAGGGAAGAAACAGACGGUACCUGACUAAGAAGCCCCGGCUAACUACGUGCCAGCAGCCGCGGUAAUACGUAGGGGGCAAGCGUUAUCCGGAUUCACUGGGUGUAAAGGGAGCGUAGACGGCGACGCAAGUCUGGAGCGAAAGGCGGGGGCUCAACCCCCGGACUGCUCUGGAAACUGUACGGCUGGAGUGCAGGAGAGGUAAGUGGAAUUCCUAGUGUAGCGGUGAAAUGCGUAGAUAUCAGGAGGAACACCGGUGGCGAAGGCGGCCUGCUGGACUGCGACUGACGUUGAGGCCCGAAAGCGUGGGGAGCAAACAGGAUUAGAUACCCCUGUAAC
This 447-nucleotide ribosomal RNA is filed under the name uncultured bacterium. RNAcentral's name for it is "bacterial SSU rRNA". It matches the Rfam family "Bacterial small subunit ribosomal RNA", at positions 330 to 794 of the family's 1533-position model. The record is from RNAcentral.